UGUGCUAAACUGAAAAUGAACUACAAAACCU
Molecule: non-coding RNA, 31 nt
Filed under: Mus musculus (house mouse)
Lineage: Eukaryota; Metazoa; Chordata; Mammalia; Rodentia; Muridae
Source: RNAcentral